AACGAACGCUGGCGGCAUGCCUAACACAUGCAAGUCGAACGAACCCUUCGGGGUUAGUGGCGCACGGGUGCGUAACGCGUGGGAAUCUGCCCUUUGCUUCGGAAUAACUCAGGGAAACUUGUGCUAAUACCGGAUGAUGUCUUCGGACCAAAGAUUUAUCGGCAAGGGAUGAGCCCGCGUAGGAUUAGGUAGUUGGUGGGGUAAAGGCCUACCAAGCCGACGAUCCUUAGCUGGUCUGAGAGGAUGAUCAGCCACACUGGGACUGAGACACGGCCCAGACUCCUACGGGAGGCAGCAGUGGGGAAUAUUGGACAAUGGGCGCAAGCCUGAUCCAGCAAUGCCGCGUGAGUGAUGAAGGCCCUCGGGUCGUAAAGCUCUUUUACCAGGGAUGAUAAUGACAGUACCUGGUGAAUAAGCUCCGGCUAACUCCGUG
This 433-nucleotide ribosomal RNA is filed under the name uncultured bacterium. RNAcentral describes it as "partial 16S ribosomal RNA". It matches the Rfam family "Bacterial small subunit ribosomal RNA", at positions 29 to 507 of the family's 1533-position model. The record is from RNAcentral.